This 22-nucleotide ribosomal RNA is filed under the name Empria candidata. RNAcentral describes it as "partial 5.8S ribosomal RNA". Lineage: Eukaryota; Metazoa; Arthropoda; Insecta; Hymenoptera; Tenthredinidae. The record is from RNAcentral.
GACCACGCCUGGCUGAGGGUCG